RNAcentral lists this unclassified non-coding RNA (272 nucleotides) under uncultured fungus. RNAcentral's name for it is "partial contains small subunit ribosomal RNA, internal transcribed spacer 1, and 5.8S ribosomal RNA". The stretch from base 1 to 73 matches the Rfam family "Eukaryotic small subunit ribosomal RNA", at positions 1759 to 1831 of the family's 1831-position model. The record is from RNAcentral. Lineage: Eukaryota; Fungi.
GCAAACUUGGUCAUUUAGAGGAAGUAAAAGUCGUAACAAGGUCUCCGUAGGUGAACCUGCGGAGGGAUCAUUACCAAUUGCUUUUCGGAGCGUCAAACCUGUUUAUUCACCUGUUGCUUAGGCGGUGCCCCUGGGAGGGGAGCUGCGAUGCGGUCUUCCGCGAAGCCGCCGCCGAAAGCCCACCUUACUAUCUUUAUGAUGUUCUGUCAAACAAAAAACAUUAAAACCUCAACAACGGAUCUCUUGGUUACAGCAUCGAUGAAGAACGCAGC